GUCUACGGCCAUACCACCCUAAACACGCCCUAUCUCGUCUGAUCUCAGAAGCUAAGCAGGGCAGGCCUGGUUAGUACUUGGAUGGGAGAAUCAAUCAUGGAUGAAAAAAUUCAGCUCCUGACC
This 123-nucleotide ribosomal RNA is filed under the name Ochotona princeps (American pika). The record is from RNAcentral. Lineage: Eukaryota; Metazoa; Chordata; Mammalia; Lagomorpha; Ochotonidae.